CACAACUUUACUCUCUCGCUUACUCUCCGAGGCUACUGCUACAUUGCUACUUAUCGAAACUCGGAGAUUGGCCGAGGACGACGCCGACGCCGAUGACGCGCGAGCCGUUCGCGUUAGUCCAGGCCCUUAUUGGCAUGCCUGGGAACUCCGGCGAAAGCGCGGAUAAUGACAGAAGAAAACGAGACGGUAAGGCUCUUGCUCGCUGCUGGAUUCGGAUAUAUAUCUCCGGGCAGAGCGAAAAGAAGAGGAGGACGAAAAGAGCUGUGUCGAGGCGCAGAAGAGUGAGAGAUGUUGGGAAGAGGGAGCGCGUGCCGGCGAGUUGAAAAGUGGAAGGGGGAGAUACGACUAACGAAUGCUCUCCUGAAAAUAUACGUAGAACUGUUGGCCAAGAGAGCGAAAAGCGUCGAGGAAGAGAAAAGAA
Nasonia vitripennis (jewel wasp) is the source of this 421-nucleotide long non-coding RNA. RefSeq lists it as uncharacterized. The transcript is spliced from 2 exons. The record is from RefSeq and is a predicted model, not a curated record. NCBI's taxonomy places the organism in Eukaryota, Metazoa, Arthropoda, Insecta, Hymenoptera, Pteromalidae.